This 2189-nucleotide long non-coding RNA is filed under the name Apis dorsata (giant honeybee). RNAcentral describes it as "uncharacterized LOC116186277". Lineage: Eukaryota; Metazoa; Arthropoda; Insecta; Hymenoptera; Apidae. The record is from RNAcentral.
AAAGUUUAUAUAAUGCUAUUUUUUAAAAAAAUGAAAAAUAAGAUAAUUCAACGAAUUUUCAAAUAUCCAAAAGUUUUAAUUUUAAGUAUCAUUUUAUAAGUCGCGCUCUUGAGACUUUCUUAGAAAGAGAGCGAGAAAGAGGGCAGCAGCGGUUUCACGGUAGUCGAUGUAUCCGAACGAUAACCAACUUGCGUAUUUGUCACGCACACGUCUCAUGUGACCCGCGAACUUAACAUAAUCCCUGUCAACUCUAAGAAAAUAAUGAUCGCAUGAUGCGUCUGUGAUUUUACAGUACGUAUGCAUCUACUAUUACAUUGUUCCUAUCAGUUUUUGUAUGAGGUAAAUAAAUUGCCGGUGUAAAAUUAAUUUUGUAAUAGGAUCUAUUGUGAUCAACGAUAAUAAUUCAAUACCGUUGUCGUUGAAGUUAUAUAGUGUAUUUUAAUCUUUUCAAACUCGAUCAUGUUACUAGAAAAUAUUUUUAUUUGUAAAGUUAUUUGAGAACUUAAUUUCUUUUUUUUUCUUGGUAUAUAACAUUGUUAGUAAAUUUGAGAAUGUUAUAGAUAAUUUCAUUUGACACUUAAAAAUAAUAUAUAACAAUUACUUAUUAGGUAUUCGAGGAAAUAUUUUUAUAUUUUAAUGUGAAUUUUUUUAUCAAAAUUUGUAAUUAAACCAAAAAAAAAUAUUUUCAUAUAAUUUAAAAAAAUACUCGAUAACUAAUAAAACUAGCUUAUCUCAUUGAAAGUAACGAUUAAACAAUCUCCAUUCGAUAUUUUCGCUAUUCCAUAUAUUCUUCUCCAAAACUCUGCUUUCAAUAUUUACGAUUACUCAGUCCAACGUAAUCCAGGCAAUAAAUCGAGUCCUCGAGUCCUCCUAAAUUCAUCGAGAUGACGAUUCGAAUCAGGAGAAGAAUCUCCCAUCUAUAGAGUCUCGCGGUGCGACGAAGGGAAACGAUGUUGACACGCUAUCCGGUGGUCUUUCCGUACCGAAAAUCCAGUACGUCUGGGUGGAUCUUUCCCGUUGGUUAAGCCGAUCAUUGUCGCGGUAACAAGCCGGCUAUUGACAGGUCUCGUUCUCGAACGCCCGUUACAUACGCGCGGCACGUCCACGUAUACAUAUAUACGUCCACGCGUUUACAUGUGUACAAGUGAAAGAUUGUGUUUGUGUAUGCGUAUAGAGACACCAUCCUUCUCGAGCAAGGGGACACACGACGAUGAGACAAACCACGGUUUGACCACUGUGCGGUAGUGUUACGGCUCUACUACGGGGGCCACAUACUAAUGGGGCAUUACCUUAACACCCUCUAUCCUGACUCUCGUUCAGUUAGUUACUCCUUGGGGAUGUGGAAGAAAGAAAAGUCCACCCCCUCUAACCUCUCUUUCUCUUUCUUUUUUCGAUCGUUUCUUUCUCGACACUUCUCUCGUUACUCCUUCCUUUUCUCUUUCGAAAGACGCGACGCGAGUGUUCUCCUCUCCUCGUCCCUCCCUCAGUUUUCACCACAGCUUUUUCUCUCUGUUUUUGAUCGAUCGUUCGUGAAAACGCGCGUCUCGACGUAAAUCGUUAUCGGGCCAUUUCCACGUCUGUUGGAUAACUCGAUCCUCGAAAUCGAAUCGUUUAGCAAAAUUUGGAUGAGGCUGAACGAUCAUUCGAAAGAAUUUCUUUAGUCGCAAAUUUAAAACGCUAGAUUGAAACUAAUGUUCACGGGAACGCAAUUGAGGUGAGAUAAUAUGCUGCGAUCGAAGAAUUGCAAAUCGUUUUGAUCGCAACACGGUUCGAGUUGUGUCGACACUCGGAGGUCCGAUCCGAGAUUCGGUCGGAAACAAUACGACGAGCGAUUUGUGCUGGCGAUAGGUGAAGUCGGGGUGGGGAGAGGACUGCAUGAAUUUCAAUCGACAUCUUAUCUAGUACACGAGCGAGCUUCGAGUGCCGGUGGAUCGUGAUCAAGUGGACCUCCAUGGCGAGGACAAUACACGCUGCGCCCGACAAGUGACAAUACGCUAUCAGGGUCGUUCGAGGCGUAUUGCUCUUUUGUCCGAACUACUAUACCUGCCAUACGUACUUGAACAAGUUCAUGGAAAGUGUGAGGACUGACCCGGCCAUGGAUUACCAGUGAAGAUUGCCUAGAAGAAAUGUUCAACAAAAGGAAAUUUCAUCGAUGGUGAAUUUUAUAAUUUAAAUAUAUUGAGAUAUAG